UACGGGGGGAGCAAGCGUUGUUCGGAUUUACUGGGCGUAAAGGGCGCGUAGGCGGCCACCGCAAGUCACUUGUGAAAUCUCCGGGCUUAACCCGGAAAGGUCAACUGAUACUGCGGGGCUAGAGUGCAGAAGGGGCAACUGGAAUUCUCGGUGUAGCGGUGAAAUGCGUAGAUAUCGAGAGGAACACCUGCGGCGAAGGCGGGUUGCUGGGCUGACACUGACGCUGAGGAGCGAAAGCCAGGGGAGCAAACGGG
This 254-nucleotide ribosomal RNA is filed under the name uncultured bacterium. RNAcentral's name for it is "partial 16S ribosomal RNA". It matches the Rfam family "Bacterial small subunit ribosomal RNA", at positions 524 to 776 of the family's 1533-position model. The record is from RNAcentral.